RNAcentral lists this ribosomal RNA (454 nucleotides) under uncultured Caldilineaceae bacterium. RNAcentral's name for it is "bacterial SSU rRNA". It matches the Rfam family "Bacterial small subunit ribosomal RNA", at positions 28 to 505 of the family's 1533-position model. Lineage: Bacteria; Bacillati; Chloroflexota; Caldilineae; Caldilineales; Caldilineaceae. The record is from RNAcentral.
GAUGAACGCUGGCGGCGUGCUUAACACAUGCAAGUCGAACGUGAAGGUUCGCUUCGGCGGACUGGAAAGUGGCGGACGGGUGAGUAACACGUGGGUACCUGCCUUGGAGAGGGGGAUAACCAUUGGAAACGAUGGCUAAUACCGCAUAGUCCCAUGCCCUUAGGGGUGUGGGUAAAACUGAGGUGCUUCAAGAGGGGCCUGCGUUCGAUUAGCUAGUUGGUGGGGUAAAGGCUUACCAAGGCGAUGAUCGAUAGCUGGUCUGAGAGGAUGAUCAGCCACACGGGAACUGAGACACGGUCCCGACUCCUACGGGGGGCAGCAGUGAGGAAUAUUGCACAAUGGGGGAAACCCUGAUGCAGCAACGCCGCGUGGAGGACGAAGGCAUUUGUCGUAAACUCCUUUUCUAUGGGAAGAGUAAGGACGGUACCAUAGGAAUAAGUCACGGCUAACUACG